CAGAUACCCAAAGGGCAGAGAUCCAAGAACUCAUUUCAAUCUAAAUUCCUGUUGAGUUUUAAGUCUUUUCUUUUUCGCUUUUUGGAUUCAAUUCUGGUCCAAAAAUGCCUCUAGGAACUGUUGAAGUCCUACUUGUUGGUGCUAAGGGUCUUGAAAACACUGAUUUUCUCAGUAAGUUCAAAUAUAUCUCGAAAAAAUUUUUCGUUGUUUAUUUGUUUGUUGAUUAUAAAAUUGAGAUGUGGGUUUUCAAUAAUGAGAUCAUUAUGUCCAUAAUGAGUGAUGUUAAUAGAUAUUCAUAAGCCUCUCUCUCUUUUAUUUGUUCUACCUUUUUGUGUGUUGUUCUUGAUCUGUAAUUUUCUUUACAUCGACCAUUUUCCUUGUAGCUGAAUCAAUCGCUUUGGCCUACCAGUGGAAUGUUGUUUAGGUGUUUUUCCCCCCCUAAUAAUAAUAAUUCUGGAUUGAUUUUUGACGAGGUUAAAAUUCUUAUGUGAGCAGAUGGCGUGGACCCUUAUGUCGUCCUCGCUUGCCGUACCCAGGAGCAGAAAAGCAGUGUUGCUUCAGGUAUUUAUGUCUCUAAUCGCUCUGAAUUCUUAGCUGCAUUUCUAAUUUUUACUUAUCAGAUUAGAUUAGAAAAGAUCAAGUAAUAUGUUAAUACUUGCUUUGGUGUGGUAAGCACAAGAGAUUAUUGGCAAAACUAUGCCUUCAAUAUGUAUGCAAUUGGCCUUGCAGUCAAGUGGAGCGUUUGUACCCAAGAUGGAGAUCAUACCCUUCUCCUUAAAAUUUCUGUUGUGCAAAAGAAAAGUUAUACAAUUUUGUGCAAUAUUGACAAAUAUAAAAUCCUACAGGGAAAGGGAGUGAACCAGAAUGGAAUGAGAAAUUCUCAUUUGAGGUAUCAGAUGGUGACACAGAACUCACAUUGAAAAUCAUGGACAGUGAUGUUGGUGCUGCAGAUGAUUUUGUUGGAGAAGCAACCAUUCCCCUUGAGCCAUUGUUUUUGGAAGGAAACCUCCCAUCUACGGCGUACAAAGUUGUCAAAGAACAAGAAUACAAGGGAGAGAUUACAGUGGGCCUCACCUUCACCCCAGAGGUAAUUACUGUGUUUCUACCUAAGCAUAAGGAAAAGGGGAAGAGUGUAGGAUUAUUGAAGAUGAUUCAGUUGUCGAUUACUUUACUCCAAGUUAGCAAAUCAUGUUAAGUCACUUCUUCUUAGUUUAUGUCUUCGUGGACAAACAUUGAAUCGAUAGAUAAAUAUAGUUUUUCUAGUUUUUCCAGGCCGUAAUGAUAAUAGUGUUGUUUCUUAUUCCUCAUUCUAGUAUUGUGAAAACCGUGGUUUCCAGGUAGAGAUGGACAACGUCGGAGUGGAUGGAUACGAUUUUCGGUUAUAAUAUUAACUAGCAUCUUGGUGUGGAAAUGGCAAGGACUGCUUUUGGUUUGGAGAUGGCAAAGAGACUCUGUUUUUAACGUCGAUGUGUUGUGAGAACUUGUUUUGAUGUUGCAAAUAAUACCGAUGUGUUUUAAGAACCUUUUGGUGUUGAUUGAUUUGGAUUUGUGUUUGGCAUUAAUAAUAGUAAUUGUUUUUUUUUUUUUA
Molecule: unclassified non-coding RNA, 1588 nt
Filed under: Hevea brasiliensis (rubber tree)
Lineage: Eukaryota; Viridiplantae; Streptophyta; Magnoliopsida; Malpighiales; Euphorbiaceae
Source: RNAcentral